AGAGUUUGAUCAUGGCUCAAGAACGAACGCUGGCGGCAGGCUUAACACAUGCAAGUCGAACGCGUGUAGCAAUACACGAGUGGCGCACGGGUGAGUAACGCGUGGAUAUCUGCCUUUUGGUUCGGAAUAACUCCGGGAAACUGGAGCUAAUACCGGAUGGUUCCUACGGGAUAAAGAUUUAUCGCCAAAAGAUGAGUCCGCGUACGAUUAGCUAGUUGGUGAGGUAAUGGCUCACCAAGGCGACGAUCGUUAGCUGGUCUGAGAGGACGAUCAGCCACACUGGGACUGAGACACGGCCCAGACUCCUACGGGAGGCAGCAGUGGGGAAUAUUGGACAAUGGGGGCAACCCUGAUCCAGCCAUGCCGCGUGAGUGAUGAAGGCCUUCGGGUUGUAAAGCUCUUUUGGCGGGGACGAUGAUGACGGUACCCGCAGAAUAAGCCCCGGCUAACUUCGUG
RNAcentral lists this ribosomal RNA (456 nucleotides) under uncultured bacterium. RNAcentral's name for it is "bacterial SSU rRNA". It matches the Rfam family "Bacterial small subunit ribosomal RNA", at positions 8 to 507 of the family's 1533-position model. The record is from RNAcentral.